UACGUAGGGUCCGAGCGUUGUUCGGAAUUACUGGGCGUAAAGAGCUCGUAGGUGGCUUGUCGCGUCGGUCGUGAAAACUCACAGCUUAACUGUGGGCGUGCGGGCGAUACGGGCAGACUUGAGUACUGCAGGGGAGACUGGAAUUCCUGGUGUAGCGGUGGAAUGCGCAGAUAUCAGGAGGAACACCGGUGGCGAAGGCGAUCACCUGGGGUUGUUCUGACGCUGAGGAGCGAAAGCUAGGGGAGCAAACGGG
Molecule: ribosomal RNA, 253 nt
Filed under: uncultured bacterium
Lineage: Bacteria
Description: partial 16S ribosomal RNA
Rfam family: Bacterial small subunit ribosomal RNA
Source: RNAcentral